Molecule: long non-coding RNA, 460 nt
Filed under: Rosa chinensis
Lineage: Eukaryota; Viridiplantae; Streptophyta; Magnoliopsida; Rosales; Rosaceae
Description: sRNA RchiOBHm_Chr2g0091481
Source: RNAcentral
CGAUAUUACUCUCGAUCCAAUUAAAAAACUACCAUGUGCCACCUCCCCCCCCUCACCGGCCCUCUCUAUUACGCUUUUCCUCCCCGGACUUCGAUUCUGAGGCCUACAUCUCCGACCUCCGAACCUUCAUCCCCUUCGAUACCCUCCGAUCCGAGCUCCAGUCCUAUCUGGCCUCCCUCAACCACGAGCUCAUCGACUUCAUCAACCGCGACUUCGUCAACCUCAGCACCAAGCUCGUCGAUGUCGACUCCGCCGUGGUGCGUCUACGGGCCCCACUCCUGCUCAAGGAGAAGAUCGAGCAGUUCAGAGGCUCCGUGUAGGGCUCGCUUGUGGCCUUGACGAAUGGAUUGAAGCAGAGAUCGGAGGUCGCUGAGGCUAGGGAGAUCUUGGAGCUUCUGCUCGAUACGUCUCACGUCGUCUCCGAGUAGUUGAACGAGCUGGAAGCCUGGAAUCGGCGUCG